Molecule: ribosomal RNA, 773 nt
Filed under: Streptococcus agalactiae
Lineage: Bacteria; Bacillati; Bacillota; Bacilli; Lactobacillales; Streptococcaceae
Also listed under: 9 other names
Description: partial 23S ribosomal RNA
Rfam family: Bacterial large subunit ribosomal RNA
Source: RNAcentral
GGCGGGACACGUGGUAUCCUGUCUGAAUAUGGGGGGACCAUCCUCCAAGGCUAAAUACUCCUGACUGACCGAUAGUGAACCAGUACCGUGAGGGAAAGGCGAAAAGAACCCCGGCGAGGGGAGUGAAAAAGAACCUGAAACCGUGUACGUACAAGCAGUGGGAGCCUCUUUAUGGGGUGACUGCGUACCUUUUGUAUAAUGGGUCAGCGACUUAUAUUCUGUAGCAAGGUUAACCGUAUAGGGGAGCCGAAGGGAAACCGAGUCUUAACUGGGCGUUAAGUUGCAGGGUAUAGACCCGAAACCCGGUGAUCUAGCCAUGGGCAGGUUGAAGGUUGGGUAACACUAACUGGAGGACCGAACCGACUAAUGUUGAAAAAUUAGCGGAUGACCUGUGGCUGGGGGUGAAAGGCCAAUCAAACCGGGAGAUAGCUGGUUCUCCCCGAAAGCUAUUUAGGUAGCGCCUCGUGAACUCAUCUUCGGGGGUAGAGCACUGUUUCGGCUAGGGGGCCAUCCCGGCUUACCAACCCGAUGCAAACUACGAAUACCGAAGAAUGUUAUCACGGGAGACACACGGCGGGUGCUAACGUCCGUCGUGAAGAGGGAAACAACCCAGACCGCCAGCUAAGGUCCCAAAGUCAUGGUUAAGUGGGAAACGAUGUGGGAAGGCACAGACAGCCAGGAUGUUGGCUUAGAAGCAGCCAUCAUUUAAAGAAAGCGUAAUAGCUCACUGGUCGAGUCGGCCUGCGCGGAAGAUGUAACGGGGCUAAACCAUG